GCCUUCAUGAAGCUGGAAUUGCUAGUAAUGGCAGGUCAGCAUACUGCCGUGAAUACGUUCCCGGGCCUUGUACACACCGCCCGUCACACCAUGAGAGUUGGAAAUACCCGAAGCCUGUGAGCUAACUUAAAGAGGCAGCAGUCGAAGGUAGAGCCAAUGAUUGGGGUGAAGUCGUAACAAGGUAAC
RNAcentral lists this ribosomal RNA (186 nucleotides) under uncultured bacterium. RNAcentral's name for it is "partial 16S ribosomal RNA". It matches the Rfam family "Bacterial small subunit ribosomal RNA", at positions 1314 to 1500 of the family's 1533-position model. The record is from RNAcentral.